UGGGGAAUAUUGCACAAUGGGCGCAAGCCUGAUGCAGCCAUGCCGCGUGUAUGAAGAAGGCCUUCGGGUUGUAAAGUACUUUCAGCGGGGAGGAAGGGAGUAAAGUUAAUACCUUUGCUCAUUGACGUUACCCGCAGAAGAAGCACCGGCUAACUCCGUGCCAGCAGCCGCGGUAAUACGGAGGGUGCAAGCGUUAAUCGGAAUUACUGGGCGUAACGCGCACGCAGGCGGUCUGUCAAGUCGGAUGUGAAAUCCCCGGGCUCAACCUGGGAACUGCAUUCGAAACUGGCAGGCUAGAGUCUUGUAGAGGGGGGUAGAAUUCCAGGUGUAGCGGUGAAAUGCGUAGAGAUCUGGAGGAAUACCGGUGGCGAAGGCGGCCCCCUGGACAACGACUGACGCUCAGGUGCGAAAGCGUGGGGAGCAAACAGG
RNAcentral lists this ribosomal RNA (429 nucleotides) under Chloroflexota bacterium. RNAcentral describes it as "Chloroflexi bacterium partial 16S ribosomal RNA". It matches the Rfam family "Bacterial small subunit ribosomal RNA", at positions 355 to 776 of the family's 1533-position model. Lineage: Bacteria; Bacillati; Chloroflexota. The record is from RNAcentral.